This 2210-nucleotide long non-coding RNA is filed under the name Homo sapiens (human). RNAcentral's name for it is "HSALNT0100348". Lineage: Eukaryota; Metazoa; Chordata; Mammalia; Primates; Hominidae. The record is from RNAcentral.
CAACCAUUGGCUUUGGAAGGGAUGGCGGAGGGGAGGCAGCUGACUCAGACUUCAUUUUAGUGUAGGCAAGCCCACAGCAGGCUCGGUGCAGCAGCAAAAGAGGCCAGCAACAGGAAUCUGCAGGAGCUACAGCUCUGAGGGAGAGAAACCUUGCUCUCAGUUCAGAAGAACCGCAGCUCCAAGAAGGAAGGACACCUGAGGCACAUGCUCUUCACUGGCACCCAGGCUACUAUAGUAGAAUUGAGUGUCAGUUGUCCACAGAGAACAGAGAAGGCAGGAGCACCUUUGCUGAGUCAAUAAGGAUACCACCUGCCUACGAACCACGGAUGCCAUUCUUGAACAUUCUUCUCAGCCCUUAAAUGCAUGUAAAUUAUAUGACAUUGUGUUGAAUACAUAUAAUUGUCUUUGUGGCUCUCUGUGGUUAACUAAAUUGUAGGUAUUGUUCUUGUUCUUAUGUAUUCAUUAGGACAGGUAAAUUAAUUUAAGCUGUGGUGUAAACAAGAAAAAAUGGAAUGACUUCAGAAAAGCAGCCAUUUCUUACACAGUGUAUCUAUCAGUUCCAAUCAUUUUCAGAGGGAGAGUCCUCCAAAAAUAAUUUUUUUUUUUUUUUUUUGCUACAGAAGGAUAGUUGAAAAGUAUCCUCAAAUACAAGGUCAGGUUAAUGCUUGUGCAACAUACAGAAAGAGUGGAUAAAAGAGCCUUGGAUGAAUGAACAAAUCACGCAGGUGUAAAGCACUUAGACAGAGGUGAUAACAUGAGCCAAAUGUUUACUUUUGAAAUGACUUUCUUCUCUAAAUUAUAACGAUGGGAAAUAAGAAAAACACCCCAAAGCAGGUAAUAUUCCAGCAUACUAUUUUUAAUAUCUCUGACAUAUAAGAUUGUGUAGGAAGGCAAUACAAAGCCUAGCUAGGAAGAAGAAAAGAGGAUUAAUUUUGUAAAGGAGACAUAAUAAUGCCACAGGUUUAAUUUAUCUCAAGCAAUGUCAUCCAGCUAAAGCAGGAAACAAUUAUGAUACAGAACGUUGAACGUGGACUAAUCAUUUUAAUGACUAAUGGAAAAAGCUAUAAUAGAUUUUUCACCCAGAAAUUUAUAGAGUUAAGUAACACCACAGUUGCCUUCGUACCACUCUCCCCAGUUCAUUUCGGCACAGGAACUUGGCAACAGUCAAAGUCCUCUGCCUUUAGCUACCACUCACUGAAAAAGCAACAUUUCAAACCACAAAAACACUCAUGUUAACACCUUCUGACAACUUAAUGAAAAGGUAGCAACUGACUCACAACUUAUUAUCAAAUGUGGAAAAGCACGCUCUAGAAGGAAACUUUCAACAGCUCAUCCAUCAUCCAACAAACCUUCACAGAGUACAGUAUUUUCUGUCAAGCAGUGUGUCCAGAAAUGAGAAAGGGGUUGAAUACAGGGUAGAAUUCUUCCCAGGAUAUGCCCCUUGUAAUAAAAUAGAUUACUAAUCAGAUAUAAAACACAGUGACAUAGGGGCCAGAAGAAAGAAACGCCCAGGAGACUGUAGGAACUCAGGACAGGACUAACCAGUGGGUGGGUCAGAGGAGAUUCCUGGAUAUGCCAAUGCCUGGAAUGAGAGAACCUGGAAACUCAGAGAAACUGAGCAUCCCAAGUUCACCUGAAAUGGGAAGUUAACAUGUGGGGCUGGAAAGAGGUGCCUGAGAAGGUAGGCAAGGGCAAAUCUUGUGGGCCUUAUUUGCCAGUGCUAAGCAGCUUGGGUUUGUUUAACAGGCAAAGGGGACUCACUAAGAGAUUUUCAGCCAAGGGGAGAGAUCGGGGAGAAUCGUGUGGAGUGUAAGAUUUAAAAUUUAGGGAGACCAGCCUGGAAGCAGGGAGAGAAUGGAUUGCAGAGGUAACUGAAUUAGCAAAACUGGGAAGUGGCUGCUACAGGAAUCCAGGUAACAGUAAUCUCAAAAUCAAUGAGAGCAUGAAUUAAGACGAUGCAGAGGGAUGUGAGAUGAGGGGGAAAAUUAAAAAAAUAUAUUUAGGAGACAGAAUCACUAGUAUUUGAUGAAUGAUAGAUGUGAGGUGUCAGUGAGGUAAGGGAAUCAAAGACUCUUCCAGGUUUCUAGCUUGCACUGUUAAUUGGGACAGUGUAUCAGAAUUGUUCCUCAAGACUGAAUGUGACAGACUCUGUACAUGCUGUAACAACAGUAUCUGAUGAUGUAAAUAUUGGAAAUAAAAAUUAUCAUGAC